This 497-nucleotide ribosomal RNA is filed under the name uncultured bacterium. RNAcentral describes it as "partial 16S ribosomal RNA". It matches the Rfam family "Bacterial small subunit ribosomal RNA", at positions 28 to 507 of the family's 1533-position model. The record is from RNAcentral.
GACGAACGCUGGCGGCGUGCCUAAUACAUGCAAGUUGAGCGCUGAAGGUUGGUACUUGUACCAACUGGAUGAGCAGCGAACGGGUGAGUAACGCGUGGGGAAUCUGCCUUUGAGCGGGGGACAACAUUUGGAAACGAAUGCUAAUACCGCAUAAAAACUUUAAACACAAGUUUUAAGUUUGAAAGAUGCAAUUGCAUCACUCAAAGAUGAUCCCGCGUUGUAUUAGCUAGUUGGUGAGGUAAAGGCUCACCAAGGCGAUGAUACAUAGCCGACCUGAGAGGGUGGUCGGCCAAAUUGGGACUGGGACACGGCCCAAACUCCUACGGGAGGCAGCAGGAGGGAAUCUUCGGCAAUGGACGAAAGUCUGACCGAGCAACGCCGCGUGAGUGAAGAAGGUUUUCGGAUCGUAAAACUCUGUUGGUAGAGAAGAACGUUGGUGAGAGUGGAAAGCUCAUCAAGUGACGGUAACUACACAGAAAGGGACGGCUAACUACGUG